GUAUUGAUUGCGUGUGAUCGCAAAAGUAAGACAUUCUACACAUUUCAUUAAAAGGGUGUCUAUGUAAAAACGUGAAGACCCCCCUCAGAACUAGCCAAAAGGAGAGCACCCACGCGGUGAUUCACAAAGGGGUGAGAUGGAUUGUAAGAGAGCACCGGAGCGUGCACAAAGUCAGCGACAGCCCCGGCACCUCCGUUAUACGAUAAUGAUCCUUCCGCAGGUUCACCUACGGAAA
This 235-nucleotide unclassified non-coding RNA is filed under the name uncultured fungus. RNAcentral describes it as "sequence contains ITS1". The record is from RNAcentral. Lineage: Eukaryota; Fungi.